Molecule: long non-coding RNA, 12315 nt
Organism: Peromyscus californicus insignis
Lineage: Eukaryota; Metazoa; Chordata; Mammalia; Rodentia; Cricetidae
Exons: 4
Source: RefSeq, a predicted model, not a curated record
ACAAAGGAUAGUUACUCUAGGGAGAAUAAAAGGGUAUAGAAGAAAGGAAACAUAAUAGCAUACCAUUUGGCUGGUAGUAAAAGAUACUGACAGCCAUCAAAAUGUAGAGUGUGGAAGGGGGAGCUCAGGAGGCCUCAGCCCUACACAAAGAACUACAGGUAAGUUAGGAAUGCUGAGAGUGGGAGAAACAGUCUUCCUCAGAAAAGAGCACACCAAUUGGUUAUGUAAUUCCAAAUGGUCAGUCCCCAAAAUAUACACACAUUAUAAUUAUGAGGACCAAACAGGUUGUACUUAGAUAUUUAGAAACACACACACAACAACAACAACAAUUAAUGAAAAAAGAGGCCAUGAUAUUCAUGGUAAUAUUUGGAGGGAGAAAAGAGAAGACAGAAAUGAUGUCAUUAUUUUAUAAUAUCAAAAAAUUAUUUUUUUUACAAAUGUGAAGUGUAAUAGUGCUCUAACUAUUGCAGCAAUGAAGGUUAAUAGGUGAGUCCAUGUGUGUGAAUGAUGGCAUUGCAUUAUUGACAAUGUGACCACUGUUUUAAUUCUCUAUAUUACAAUUAUUCAUUUCUGUUGUAUAAACCUUUCAGAUUGCAAACACUUCAAGCCCUCUAUUACUAAGAAAAUUAAACCAAAAUCAAAAUAAAAUGAACCAACGACCAAGCCAAAUAAAGUACAUCUCUCAUGCUUAAUAAUACUUCAGCUCACCGUUCCAUUUCUCGCCUCCUCCUUAUCAAAAUCUAAUGUCUUGAAAGAAAAAAAUGGUUUCUAUUUACUCCCUGUAUUUUCUCUGAAAAAAGCUAUUUCCUCUGCAAAAUAAGGUAGUUUGGCAAGGUUUCAGGGCACAAGACCUAUAUACAUAAAAUCAAUUAUCUUCCUAUAAGAUAUCUAUUUUCUAAAAGAUUAUCCAAAGACUCAAUAUAAUCCCAAUCAAAUUCCAGUACAGAGUUUCAUAAAAAUGGUCAAGACUCAAAUAUCUAUAUUCUAACAUAGAUAUAAAAUAUAUCUUCAUAUAUAUGUAUAUAUAUAUAUAUAUAUCCAAAGGACCUAGAAUAUGAAAAUAAUUUUGAAAAAAGAAAACAGUUUUAGAAACAGCAAAAUUUGAGUAAUAAUACUGAUGCUAAGGCUUACUAUUAAACUAAACUAAUCUAGACAGUGUGGUAUUAUGUAUGAAUAGACAUAUGAAUUUAACAUAUACAUUCAAAUUAUUUUUAACAAAAAACACCGUAGAGAUUCAGCUGAAUAUCUUAACACACAAACUGAACCCAUAGCGUUACUUCGCAUUAUAUAAAAAAUGGAUCAUACAUCUAAGUGUAAAGCCUGAACUUACAAACUUCUAUAAGAAACAUCAUGACUAGACAGAUGGAUCAGCAGUUAAGAGCACUUGCUGCUCUUGCAAAAGACCAGAGUUCAAUUCCCAGCACCCACUCAAUGAGUCACAGCCGUCCAUAACUCUGGUUUCAGAGGAAUGGACAUUCUCUUUUGACCUCUGUGGGAACCAGGCACACCCAUGGAGCACAUAUACACAUUCAGGUCAAACACGUGUACAUACAAAAUAAAUAAAUCUACUUUUAAAAUAAAAGAAACAUAAUAGGAGGGGCUGGAGAGACAGUACUUCAACUAUAAAUCUCUAGUGGGAUCUAAACUAAGAGAAAAAUAAUUACAAAUAAAUCAACAAAUGCUUAAACCAUCCUCAAUGUAUCAGCAAAGAUAGUUCUCAUUUACCAUCUGGCCCUGAAGUGUAUUUUUUUAUUUAGGUAAUCUUGCAAAAAUGUAUAGCAGUCAGAGCAAAAGCACAAUGAAAAAUAACAUCGAACAUUUAGUGAAACUCGGGGUGCUUCAGUUGGUAGAGUGCUUACUCAGCUUUCAAGAAACUGAGUUCCAUGCCCGCAUGGAACAAAAGAAAAAAACCAGAUGUGGUGGUACGUACCUAUAAACCCAGCUCUUGGGAGGUAGAGGCAGGAAGAGCAGAAGUUCUAGACCUUUCUCUGCUACGUAGCAAGCUUGAGGACAGCCUGGGAUGCAUGAGACCCUGUCUCUAAAAAGCAAUGACAACUGUAUUUGUUACUUUUCUAUUGUGAUAAAACAUGGUGACCAGCGCAACUCAUGAAAAAAAAAAUCAUUUCAUUGGGCUUACAAUUUCCGAGGAUUUAAGAGUCCAUCAUGGCAGGACAGCAUGGCAGAAAGAAGUAGGCAUGUUGGUUGGCACAAUAUCUGAGCGCUCCCAUCGCAAAACUGCAAACAGAAAGCAAAGAGGCAGACUGGGAAAGGCCUAGUCUUUUGAAACUUCAAAGCCCACUCCCUCUAACAAGGCCACACCUCCUAAUCCUCCCCAGACUGCCAACAACUGGAGAUCAAGUCUCAAUGCUGGAGACUUAUGGAGGACAUUUUAUUCAAACCACCACCACCACCACCACCACCACAUUUAAGAAGAUGCUUGAUAUAACAAUCCAUUUGUAUAAUGUGAAGCUUGACAUAAAUCUUGAACAAUACAGAAUAUGCUCUCAUGGCCUUUUGUCAAAAAGUACUUCCUAUUAAACAACUCAUUCUUUUUAAUGUGUAGCCUUUUGUAUCCUUUGUUAUUCUUUUUUGUCUUUUAAAAUAUAUUGUUCAAUUAUUCCUGAGUCUGAAAAAAAUCAUCUACGAUAUCUCCAUCUGAGAUUUCACUGACGUAAUCAGUUUUGUUCUCAUUAGAGUCUUGAGUGCUGUUAUCUUUGUUUCAGUAUUCACAUUCUGAUUCAACUAAUAAUUGUAAAACAUGCCCUUUUGUCAAUUUCCUUCUUUUUGCCAUUAUAGGAAGAAAAAUUAAAAGAAAAUCUUUAUUCUCGAAUGAUUUUAUUAAAAGCUAAGAAGAUGCUAUAAAACAAAAACAAAACAGCAUUGAAAAACAUCUGAUGCCUAUGAGUAAAAUGAAGAAAAACAUUCAAGGCCUCUAAACAGACAAUUCUAAAGCAAUUUAUGAAAGGGAAUAAGAGAGACCCAAAUAAAUGGGCAGGUUAUAAAUAUGUCAGUAUUUUAAAGAAAUCAGUUCCUGCUGAUUUGAUCUGUAGAUUCAAGACAAUGUCAAAAAUGUUCACAUGUGGACAUUGACAAGCCAAUUCUAAAAUCUGUACGUGCUUUAGUUACUUCCCCCUUAUUACAACGAAAUAGACACCAAGGAGGAGCUACAGCAGGAGAGGCCUAUUUUUAGCUCAUGCUUAGAGGGCGUACCGUCCAUAAAGGUGGGGAAAGCAUGGCAACAGGUUCUGGGGAAAUGUGGCAGCUGGUGACAUCUAUCACCAGCCAGCAAUCAGAGAGAGGUGAAAGUUUCUGCUCUUCUUUUUAUUCAUUCUGGACACCAGCCCUUGGGAUGAAGCCACCUUCAUUCGGGGUGGGAAUCUUCCCUCCUCCGUUAACCCUUUCUAAACCUCCCCCCACCCCAGAGACAUGCCCAGAGGCAUGUUUCCAUGGUGAUUCUAAAUUGACUCAAAUUGACAGUGAAGAUUAGCCAUCACACUGUAGAAAUUAAGAAAAUCAAGACUAGCUAAGGCAGUCUUGAAAAAGGUCAAAAUAAGUCUUCAUAUCAGAGAUCAAGCUUCGUGGAUAGAAUUAAGAUAAUGCCAUAUUGACACAGUAUAGAACAGAAUAAGGACUCUAAAACAAAACCCAAAAUAUGUCAGAGAAACUAUUGUAGUUCAGUGGGGGAGGGGAGUCUUUUCAAUAAAUAUAGUGCUUUUCAGAAAAUCAUCACUUGCUUAUCCAUUGAAGGGAGAGUGUAUGUUAAGCUCUUCCUCAUACUACAUACAGAAAGGAAUUCCAGAUAAUUUGCAAAUACAAAUGUGAAAGGUAAAUCAAGAAAUCUUCCAGGAAAAGGUUUAGUAGAGUAUCUUUACAGAAUAUACACGUGGAAGGUGCUCUCAAAACUGGGAAAAUCUGAGUUUAAAAACGUGAUAAUUGGCUGGGUGGUGGUGGUGCACGCCUUGAAUCUCAGCACUUGGGAGGCAGAGGUGGAUGGAUCUCUGUGAGUUCAAGGCCAGCGUGGUCUACAAAGCAAGUUCCAGGACAGCCUGGGCUGUUACACAGAGAAACCCUGUCUCGAACCGCCCCCCACCCCAAAAAACCCAGCCAACCAAACACACACACAGACACACAAAAAAAGCAUAAUAACAAUGAAUUACAACUUACAGAAUAAAAAUAAGUAGACAUGGGUCUAUAUUGCUGUAAACAAAUAAUUGAAUUAAACCAGCAUGAGGAAGAUAUCUCUUUCUUAUAAAAGAAUCCCAAUUAUUAAAUACAGAAGCAAUAACUGAAAUACAUAAUCACCAUAGGCAAACAACACAGUAAUAAUUAUUGCAAGCAAGAAGCAUUUGUGGACCAAAAUGAGUGGGAGUUUAAGGAGAAUCAGGGUAUUAGAGUACUCUCAAAAUAUCUUCCCCAAAUUCUCAAUAAUCACAAAAGUGAAAAACAGCAACUUCUUGGUGGUGAAACCUAGCAAACAACACAUUUACCAAUGAUCUAGGUUACUUUCACCAAUAAUAAAGGAUAUUGGCAUCAUGUACCUUGAUGUGAUAUGCUGGGAAAGGCACAAUAUUACAUGUGGUGUCUUGCAAAAAAUAUAAAUAAUGGCAAGCUGAUCAUGAGAAAAGAUAGAAGGGCUGGAGGAGUCAGUAGCUUGUACCUGGCGCUCAGAAUCGAAAUAAGGAGAGAGACACACAUACACCCAAAGCAGGGAAUAGUGGGAAAUUUUCAAAUGGACAAACUCCAAUAGAACUAAAGAGCAGGAGCGACUGAAUUUGAAAUUACCAUUGGGGGAAAAAACCCUGAAAUGUCAAGCCCUUCUUCAGUACUUCCUCAUAAGGGUAUCAGAAGCAGCAUGUCAUAUUAAGCUUGAUAUAUGACAGAUAACUGUGGAAAUCUUUGUGCAGGAAUACAAAUUGAUUCACUUAUAGUUCAUCUGAACUUUGAAUCGACACACAUUUUUCAUUGAUUUUUCUCCCUCAUUUUAACCAUCCCAUUUCCACCUACUUCUAGUACCACCCACAUACUAAGCAUGAUUGACUCAUGCAUGUGAAUUAAACUAUCAUUGUACACAGUUUUGCUUUGUCUUUUUCAAUGGCAUUCCUCUCAAUUUGAACAUUUCAACUUGAUCAUUUCGAACAGCUUUGGUAUUUUCUUGUCACUUUGAAAUAUCAUGUACACCUUCACUAUAAACAGUUGCUGAGAUUAUCCUGUGAACUCGUGGCUAUUAGCACAGUCUAUCACACUUUGAACUUCAUAUGUAGAGAUGUAGAGAGCACACACUGGUCCAGUGCCUGAGGUUCAGUAAAUAAUACUGACAGAAAAUAUUAAAGGAUUCAGUCCCGUGUUUAAUUGUACUUCAAGUACAUGAAAUAUUUUUCUAAUAAAGUCCUGGGGAGCUGUUUUCUAGCUGUAUCAAAGAGAAUGCAGGGUAGACAAUGGCUUAAAUAGCAGUACAUUUAUUUUAGUUAGAAGCAGGCAAGAAGUCAGAGAUAUGGGCUUUGUGGUAAGGGAACUGAAGGCUUGGAGAUCCAUAGCAUAAAGGAGUGGUGUAAUUGGAAAGUAUUUCAGGUAAGUGGUUAAAAACAAAAAUGUGUCUGCUCUUGCUUACUGCUAAUGUCACUACAAACAAAUCACCUAACUUUCAUCAUUCUUUCUCCUCAUUCCCAAAAUGACAUGAUAAGCUUAAAUUUUAGUUUUUUUUAAACUAUGUUAGCUACAUCAAAUGAAUUCUUUCUUGAAAGAAAUUCUCUUGCAAGAUGCAUGGUCAAUUAUGCUUUGCAAUGUAACACAAUAGUAUUCAAGGUUAUAACAGCUGCCAUGUGAAUCUUGCCUUUUCCAUUUGCUGUUUAUUUUUUGACUGAAAUGCAUUGUCACAUUUUUUUCUCUGUAAAAUAAAAGUUUGAGCCAAGCAAGAUGGUACGUGCCUAUAAUCCCAACACUCCGGUGACCGAGGCAGGAGGACUACAAGUUCAAGGCUAGCUUGGGUUACACAAGCUUUGUCUCAAAAAUUAAAUAAAUAAAAGAAUGCUUGUUAUAGAUCGUUAUGCCUUAUGAAUACAGAUGUAAACAUCCUCAACAAAAUACUUACAAAUGAAGCAUUUUAAAGGAUUGUGUACCAUGACUAAGUGGAUUUUAUCCUAGGAAUGCAAAAGCUGUUCAAUACAAGGAAAUCAAUCAAUAUAAAACAUCACAUUAAUAAAAGGAAGGCUUUUUUUAAAAAUCACAGUUACACAAGGAGACAUUUGCAAGAUAGCAAAAUGACAACUUACAGGGAGAGGGAAAGUAUUUACAAGUUAUCUAUCCAGUAAGGCUAGAGUGGUCAGAAGAUGUACAGAACCGCCUAAUGUAAAGAGACGGGCCAUUUAAAGAUGGAUGGAAUAUUUAAAGAGACAGUUCCCCAAAGAAUAUCUGUAAAUGGGCAAUAAGCUCACAGAUUGAUACCCAACCUCUUCUAGUAGUUAGGAAAUUCAAAACCACAGUGAGGUUUCCACACCUGUUAUGUUGUCUAUUAUAAACAAAAAUAAAACACAAACAAAAUAUAACAAAGUUUGGGGAGGGUAUGGAGAAAUUGGCUUAACGUACAGAACAUUUUAUAUCUCAGUAGUGAGAAUAUGAAGCGAUGCAGUCAUUGUGUAAAACAGUGUGACAGUUCCUCAAAAAUUGAAUAUAGUAUGAUUAUAUGACUGAAUAAUUUCACUACUAGUUACAUAGUCAAAAUAAUUGAAAACAGGGACUCAAAUGAAUACAUGGAAUUCUCAUUUUCAUAGCAAUACUAUUUAUAACAUCCAAGAGGCCCAAAUGUAUGUCAAUGAAUGGUUAGCUAAACAAAUUGCUGUGUAUUCAUACAAUGGAAUAUUAUUCAGCCAUAAAAUAGAAUGAAGCAGUGAUGCAUACUACAAUGUGUAGACAAAUCUCAAAAAUCAUGGAAAGACUCCAGAUACAAAAAGUUCUGUGCUAUGUGAUGAACUUACAUGAAAUAUCAAAUAAGUAACGCCAUGGUGGUUGUCAGGAAUAUAGGAGGGAGAGAAAUAAGUAGGGAGCAUCGACUUAAUGGUUAAAGUGUUUUCUUUUGGGGUGAUGAAAAUGUUUUGAAACUAGAGAGAUGGAGCACACAACAUUGUGAAUAUGCUAAAUGUCACUGAAUAGAUUAUUUUUAUUUUUAUUUUGUUGGUGUUUUUGGUAUAGUGUCUCACUACGUAGCUUUGUCUGCCCUGGAACUCCCUAUGUAGAUUAUGCUGGCCUCAAACUCAGAAAGAUCUGCCUGCCUCUGCCUCUGCCUCCCAAGUGCUGGGAUUAAAGGUGUGUGCCAUUAUGCCUGGCUGAGAUUACUUUAACAUGGUUAAUUAUGCAACUGAAAGCAAGUGGUGUGCCUGUGGUUCCAGCACUUGAGAGGCUGAGCCAGGAGGAUUGUUUGAAUCCUGGAGUUCAGGUCCAGACUGAGCAUCAGAGAGAAGCUACCUCAAUAAAAUAAGAAUAAGUUAAAUGGUUAGCUUUUACAUCAAAUUAAGAAUAUUGUGCGCAGCAAAUGGAACACUCAUCAGAAUAAAAAGGCAACAUAGAGAGUGGAAGAAACUUUUGGUAUUAUCUGACAGUGAUUUACUAUUCAGACUAUAUAAGGCUUCAAGAAAUGAAACUGGUACUGCCAUAUGAACCACCAGCACCCUUUCUGGGUGCAUAUUCAGGGAAACAGAAACAGUGUAAUGAAAAGACAUCCAAAUUGCUAUGCUUAUUGAAACACUGUUCACAAUCUGCAAAAUCUGGAAUCGACUUAAAUGUCCAACAAUGAAUAAAAAGGGAAAGAGCUGCGUGGUGGUGGUGCAUGCCUUUAUUUCUAGCCCUCAAGAGGCAGAGGUAGGCUGAUCUCUUCUGAGUUCAAAGCCAGCGUGGUCUACAGAGCGAGUUCCAAGACAGUAAAGGCUGUUCCACAGAGAAACGCUGUCUUGAAAAACAAAAAAAAAUUUUUUUCUAUAUGGGCACAUGAUGAAAUACUGUCUACUCAUGGAAAAAAAGGAAAUCAUAUCAUUUGUGUCAAAAUGAAUGGAAGUGGAUUUGAUGAUGCUAAAUGAAAUAAGCCAAUCACAUAAAGACAAAUACCACAUGAUGUCACUCAUAUGGAUUCUGAAAAAAUUGAAGUCACAGAAGUUUGCAAGUAGGGUAGUAGUUAGCAGAGGUUGGAGAAUAGGGGUGGGGAGAGUUAAGGACAAGGUACUCAGGUACAGGAGCAUAAGAGAAUAUUCUUGCAUCUUACUACACAAUAGUAAUUAUACUUAUUACACACAAGUAAGCCUUAUUUGAGAUGACAGAUACAUUUAACCUGAUUAUAUAGUGUACACAGGGAUUGAAGUGUCACAUGGUAUUCAAUUAAUACACAUAACUCUUUUUGUAUUAGUUAAAAGCACAAUAAAGUGAAAAGAACUUGGAUCCCUCAAAAAUGCUUUCAUAGUCAAAAGAACUUGACUAUUUCUUCCUGAUGCUAUCAAUAAUAAAUCCAAAUACUACAGAGAAAUAUAAAGAGGAAAGUAAAAUAAUCAUCCAUGGGAGAUACGGGAACCAGAGAGAGCAAGGACGGUUUAGAGGGAGGAGAAGGAAUGCGGAAAUGAUGUAAUUAUAUUAUAAUCUGAAAAAGAAAGGAAAUCAUUUUUAAAAGGUUAAGGGAAGCAAGGAGGUCCCUUCUUCACAACUUGGUACACCAGGCUACCUUCCAGGGAUUCUCUGUCUCUGUCUCUCAUCUCACCACAGGAGCACCGGGAUGACAGAUGCAUGCACUGUCGUGUCCUGCUUUGUAUGGGUUCUAGGGAACUAAACUUAAAUCUUCAUCCUUGGGCGGCAAGUGCUUUACAGCAAGCUACCUCUCCAGCUCUCCACUCUAUUCCUUGAGACCAGAUUGCGUGUGAACCUGGAGAUCAGCGAUUUGCCUAAACGUGCUUGCAAGCAAGCCCUGAGGAGCCUUCUGCUUCUGCUUUCUCGGUACUGGCACCGCAGGUAUGUGCUACUGGGCUUAACUUUUACAUGGGUUCGGGGGAUUGAACUCAGGCCCACAUACCUGAUGGCCAAGGACUCUACUGUUUCAGCCAUCUCUCCAGCCACAGCACAUUAUAUGUAAGGAUGAAAAUGAUGUUCUCAAGAUGGAGUGCAACCCUUGCGAGUGCUUGUCUAGCACGAUUGAGCCCUGAGUUCAGUCCCCAUUACUGAAAAGAAAAUGGUAAAUGAUAAAAUGCCCUCAAAUUGGUAGGGGUAGAUGCACAACUCUGAAUAUAUUACUAUCAAAAGCUAUUUUCUGUAUACUUAUAAGAGGUAAGUCACUGCUAUAUAGAUUUUUAAACUUCAAGUAAUUUCAUUUUUAUUUAAAAAGUUUUUUCAUACAAUAUAUUUGACCAUAUUCUUCCCCUCAGCUCCUUCCAGAUCAUCCCUACCUCCCUGCUCACCCAAUUCCAUGUUCUCUCUCUCUCUCAAACCAACAAACAAACAAAAUGAAAAUCAAUGAGACAAAAAUGCCAAAACAAACAAAAAGUCCGCACACACACACACACACACACACUCACAAAACCCCAAAGCAUCAGGUGUAGCAGGAAUCUUAGAAGGUCUCGCCAACUUCUCAGCUGAUCCUGUAUCCUCAGCCUGGAAACCUCUGUGUCCUCAUCCGAAUGGAUCUCAGCUGAACUGCUGCUCAAAAGCCUGAAAGCUUAACCAGGCUCUAGUUCCUGGUCCUCAUGCCUUAUAUACCUUUCUGCUUUCUGCCAUCACUUCCUGGGAUUAAAGGCGUGAGUCACCAUGCCUGGCUGUUUCCAGUGUGGCUUUGAACUCACAGAGAUCCAGAUGGAUCUCUGCCUCCAGAAUGCUGGGAUUAAAGGUGUGUGUGCCACCAUUUUCUGGCCUCUAUGUCUAUCUAGUGGCUGUUCUGUCCUCUGUGCCCAGAGAAGUUUAUUAGGAUGCACAGGUCUGGUUUGUGUUGGCCCACUCCUGCGCUGGACUGUAGUUGAUAUGCUCAGUGUCACUGCACUGGAGAAAACUGAUUUUCCCUUUCCCGGCAGACAUCAAUUGCAAAUAGCUUCCUGCUUAGAAGUGCAACUUUGUGACCACCUCCCCUUUUCAGGGCUGGAAUUUUUCUGGUUUGAACUCAUGGAGACUGACAGUUAUACAUCUUUUUAAUAAAUACAUGAAAAAUAAACGUCCUCUCAAUACCAAUUGAACAACUCCAAUAAUCAUCUGCACGCAAAUCUUUGUAUCAGAGUCUAUUUCCAGGAAAACUCAGAUGACUUUUCAAGAACAUCUUCCUAAAUGAGCAAGGAAGAGGCAGCUCCAUUGAACACGAAGGGACGUAUAUUACUAGAAGAGUAAGGGAGAAGAAGGCAGAGCAACUGUUGACAAGGAAGAAGGGAAGACGCCUAGAGCUCAAGUGCUUUGUAGUCCACUAGAAAGAGACAAUCAUGGACUGAAAUCAUCAGGGAGAAGAGAUACAAAAGAAGAGAGAGCCAAGACUGCAAUAAGAGAAGCAAUCAAGGCCUCAAGGCACAGGGUCUAUAGAGGCGGGCUUGAGAAGGAGAAAGGACCAGUGCUGCUUUAGGGAUAGAGCUUAAGUGAAUGCUCCAUGGAGCCACCACAGACUGAAACUACACCAUUUAUGGAGGAUGGAGCUAAAGCCACCCAACAACUUCAGUGCAGACUUGGGAGGAGGAAAUGACCACCACGUUUCCAUGAGCGUAUGAUUUUCUGUUACCUUUUUGGACACAGAGCCUUUUCCCAGAAGCCCUUUCUUCUCAACACUUUCUCCUAGGACAGAAAAGCAGCAGCCCUAAGUCGUGGGAAGGACACCUCCCAAGUCGGGAGGGUUUCCAGGUCCCAGUUUCUACCAGCUAGAAGUUUGAUUUACCGGCACCAUCUGUGGGAAGACAAAUGGCCCCUUCUGGCUGUGCUGGCCAGAUGCAGAGAAGGAAGGAAAGAAGGGAAAAAAUGGAGGAAGGCAGAUUAGUAAAUCAAUAAAUAUUCAAGUGACAUAUAACGAAUGAACAAAUAGAAGUCCUCAUAGGAAGGUGGUGGAUGUCCUGAGAUGGUGAUGUUGAAUUGAAAGAGGUGACACUUUUUUAGCCCAAGGAUAAUCUCUUAAAUUCUGGCUACAAACAAUACAGUAUAACUCUUAUGGUUGCCAUGACAACGUGAAUCCCUCUCCUCUGAUGUCAGCUGGCUCUCCCUCCUCCUUUGGAAUCCGGAAUGCCAGUUUUCUUUCUGCUGUAAAUGUUGUGCCUGGUUUCAAGGACCCGGUGAUGGGCUCGCCUAAUAACUCUGUCUCUCAGGACUGUUUGUUCCAGAACCCUAAGGUCACAUUUUUUAUGGAAAAAAAGGGAGCCUGACAUGUGGAGGACUAGACCAGGGCAGACAGAUUGUUCCAGUUAGGCACGUCACCCAUUUCAACUGAUGUCAGGGCCAGCCUCUGACCAGUCUAAGGUGUACACACCUCUCCUCCCUCCACCUUACCCCGGGGCCACACUUGCCUUUAGGUGUGGGAUUAGGACUUAUGUUAGGGAGUAUGUUGAGGACUAUGGUACAGUUUGAAGUCCUUCUGCUGAAAGUCUCUCCCCCAGUUGGCUUGCCUGAAGCUCCUAUUAUUAGGAUCAUUUUCAUAGAUGAAAGCCUUGAAAAACAGCUGCCAAGUGAAAAUGCUCCCUCCCUAUGCAGGGUGUUAACAACCAGCUUGUAAUACUCAAGAAUGAAUUAUGAAGAGGUUACAGGGCUCUGGAGGGUCCAGGACACAGGUAGGUCAGUUUGGACGCAGGGUAACACCAGGGAUUCUGUAUCCACUAUCUUCACAGUUCUCGCAAGCCUAUCCUCCUUUUUUCCUAGUUCAGUCAGCUUGAAAGACAUUCUUUAUUAUUAUUAUUAUUGUUGUUGUUGUUGUUAUUGUUAUUUAACCACACACAUUUAUAAGGUGCAAUUUAGAUACUGCAUAAUGAUCAAGUCAGAGUUGCUAACAGCUGUACCUCUUUAAUCACAUUUUUAUUUUUAUUAGCAUGGUAAUUGUACAUGUUUAUGGAGUGCAGUGUGAUAUUUCAAUACAUAUAUGCGACAUGUACUGAUCAAGUCAUGGUAAUCAACAUUUCCCAUCUCGCUAUCACUAUUUUGUGUAUGGAGCCUUUGAGUACCUCUCUCCUUGUUAUUCAUAAAACACACAAUAGGUUAUUGUGAACUGUAAUCCUCUUGCUGUGCUAUAGAACAUGAGACCUUAUUUCAUCUAUCUAACUGUGUUUGGGUACCUGUUAUUAAACCUUUUUCUAGUCCAGCCUCUCGUGCCCUUCCCAACCUCUGGCAAUCACUCUUUUA